Molecule: ribosomal RNA, 117 nt
Filed under: Polycentropus unicus
Lineage: Eukaryota; Metazoa; Arthropoda; Insecta; Trichoptera; Polycentropodidae
Description: partial 16S ribosomal RNA
Source: RNAcentral
AAAAUUUUAAUGGUCGAACAGACCAAAAAUAUAAUGCGACUUCACAAAAAUUUAAUUUUAAUCCAACAUCGAGGUCAUAAUCUUUAAAUUCAAUAACAUCUUAAAAUUAAAAUUAUG